RNAcentral lists this ribosomal RNA (365 nucleotides) under uncultured eukaryote. RNAcentral describes it as "partial 18S ribosomal RNA". It matches the Rfam family "Eukaryotic small subunit ribosomal RNA", at positions 592 to 975 of the family's 1831-position model. The record is from RNAcentral.
CAAUAGCGUAUAUUAACGUUGUUGCAGUUAAAAAGCUCGGAGUUGGAUUUCUGGAGGGAGCGUCGGCCCGUAUUUACGAGUGCGUGACGUCUCUGUCCAUCCUUGCGGGAAGGCACGGCAUUGAUUUGUUGUGUCGGAUCGCAUCAUUUACUGUGAAAAAAUUAGAGUGUUCAAAGCAGGCUUUCGCUUGAAUACAUUAGCAUGGAAUAAUAAGAUAGGACUUUGGUGCUAUUUUGUUGGUUGAGCCUAAAGUAAUGAUUAAUAGGGAUAGUUGGGGGCACCUGUAUUGCGUUGUCAGAGGUGAAAUUCUUGGAUUUACGCAAGACAAACAGCUGCGAAAGCGUCUGCCAAGGAUGUUUUCAUUA